CUUGGCAUGGUGACCCUUAAAGUCUCCUGACGGCUCCGAUUGCGAUUCUGAUGAUGAACCAUUGUCUAUGCUUCUGAGCGAGUCAAAAGUCUAGAUCAAGAAUCUUCGCUGCUUCAACCACUAUCGCUUGGAUGACAUACGUGUGAAGAAACUUGAAGAACUUGUGUUGAAGAGCAUGCUUGAGAAACUAGAAUCAAUUACAUUGAUCGUUUUGGCAAUGCUUCAAUGUUUCAAUACCUCAAUCUCUCUUUUAUACUGUUUGAUUUUAGACAUUUUGAAUAUCAUAAAUAAAGCAAACUCCACUCAUAAUUGUAAUUGUGUGUAGUAAUUGCAAUGAAAUAGAUCCAUUUAAAAUCAAUGAAUUGAUUUAAAGCUAACUGGUAACAUUUUCCAUGAUUUCUGAAACAAUGAACUGAAUGGUCAUACAGGUGUUUGGUAAACUUUGUAGCGUUUGAGACUGUGUACUAAAUUUUAUUGAAAUAUCCUAGAAAGAGAUUGUGUAAACUGACUUGUUUCUGAUACUCUACUAACAAGAUAUUUAUGAAAAACAGAGAUGAACAAAAAAGUAACGAUGAUGAUUAUAUUAGUCAUUUUUCCUAUUGAAAAACUUCAUGAUACAUGUAGUACAUGUAUGUCAAGCAUUUUGUAUGUCACAUGUGGCAUUUCCUCCCUACGAUUGCUGAACAAACAUGAUAACCAGGACAUGUAUAACGAAUUUGAUAAAGACAUUUUAGCAUAUUUACAAGUACUGUAUAAUGAAUGAAAUAACCUUCGUAUUCCUUGGAUGUAUACCUGAUGAGUCUUUUCGAAAAACCCUAGAUGUACAUUUCAAAAUGCAAUACAGUAUUGAUGAUAAUUGAUGAUGAUAUGUUUGGUAUGAAUUAUUUAAUAUUUUGAAUUUAUGCUCUAUUUGCCACUUGCUGUUCUGGUUCCAAAUGUUUGAAUUAAAACUGCUCAGUCGAAAUUCA
Molecule: long non-coding RNA, 968 nt
Organism: Strongylocentrotus purpuratus (purple sea urchin)
Lineage: Eukaryota; Metazoa; Echinodermata; Echinoidea; Camarodonta; Strongylocentrotidae
Exons: 2
Source: RefSeq, a predicted model, not a curated record